GUAGUCCACGCCGUAAACGAUGUCAACUAGCCGUUGGGAAUCUUGUAUUCUUAGUGGCGCAGCUAACGCAAUAAGUUGACCGCCUGGGGAGUACGGCCGCAAGGUUAAAACUCAAAUGAAUUGACGGGGGCCCGCACAAGCGGUGGAGCAUGUGGUUUAAUUCGAUGCAACGCGAAGAACCUUACCAGGUCUUGACAUCCAGAGAAGUUGCCAGAGAUGGUUUCGUGCCUUCGGGAACUCUGAGACAGGUGCUGCAUGGCUGUCGUCAGCCUCCGUGUCGUGAGAUGUUGGGUUAAGUCCCGUAACG
This 307-nucleotide ribosomal RNA is filed under the name uncultured bacterium. RNAcentral's name for it is "bacterial SSU rRNA". It matches the Rfam family "Bacterial small subunit ribosomal RNA", at positions 790 to 1094 of the family's 1533-position model. The record is from RNAcentral.